RNAcentral lists this non-coding RNA (198 nucleotides) under Massilibacterium senegalense. Lineage: Bacteria; Bacillati; Bacillota; Bacilli; Caryophanales; Bacillaceae. The record is from RNAcentral.
AGAACUGAUAAAUCGAGGAGUGGAAUGAUAGAGUAACGUCUUGAAACGCUCUCCCUGAUACUCCUAUAUGCAAUAAUUACUGCUACUAAAUUAUUGUGUAAAGCUAGGUGAAGUCGGCAGAGAGGUACCGAAAGUUAUGUAACAAUCGAAAACGGACUAGAGGUAGUCUGUGUAUCCUAUAUGCCGGGGGUCUAUAAA